GUACAAAAGUUGCUGAUAUAAUCCUGACAGCUCUGGGAUUUUGCAUUCCUUAGUAAAUCCUGUCUCAGAUGUCAGGGUUUGGAUUUUAUUUUUCCCUUUCCUUCUUUACAGUAUGUUUACAGGAUUCACAACAAUAUCUUGGGAUUUGUUCUUCUUGUAAAGCCAGUAAGAGUGAUGUGGUUAAUCUUCUCCACUGUGUUCCAAACGUACCCCCUGUUCCUCAGACUGCCUAAGAGGUUUAUUUGGGGCAGACAACAUGAUAUUUUUGGACUGCUGAGCGCCCAGGAAAGCAGGGCAUGUUCUCUGAGCACAUUCAGAAGGAUCCUGAAGGGUGAUUCUUCAGGAAGCUGUACCUACAGGAGACUGAAGCAGUUCAGCUUUGAGGAUGGAGGUGGAGAACAUCAAGGACUGAAGGUGUUUAUGGAAAAUGUGGUUAUGGAAAAGGCUUUUGGUAAGUUUAGAAUAGUUUAUUUUCCUUAGAUACACCUAAAAAACAGAAAGGACAGACUUCUUUUUUCCCCUAUUGUUGUUUUGCAGACAAACCUGAAAAAGGGAAGAAAUUUCAGUGGGGAAUUUUAUGAAAAUAUUUUGUCAUUUUCACAUAAUGCAAUCACCUGCAGACUGUUCUUUUCUGUAAUGAAUGUGAAUGUAAAGGGGAACUGAAGACCCUCAUCUGCUAUGAAGUAAGAUUUGAAUAAAACCUGAACUUCAUCUUUCA
This 718-nucleotide long non-coding RNA is filed under the name Zonotrichia albicollis (white-throated sparrow). RNAcentral describes it as "lncRNA (ENSZALG00000000766.1)". The record is from RNAcentral. Lineage: Eukaryota; Metazoa; Chordata; Aves; Passeriformes; Passerellidae.